RNAcentral lists this ribosomal RNA (433 nucleotides) under uncultured bacterium. Its description in RNAcentral is "partial 16S ribosomal RNA". It matches the Rfam family "Bacterial small subunit ribosomal RNA", at positions 39 to 507 of the family's 1533-position model. The record is from RNAcentral.
GGGGGGGGGGGGGGGGGGGCGGAGGGGGGGCAGGGGGGAGGAGACGUGCGGGGCUAGUGGCGCACGGGUGCGUAACGCGCGGGAACGUGCCCUUAGGUUCGGAUGCACGUCACGAAAGGGGUGCUAAGACCGGAUGAUGUCGUCGGACCAAAGAUUCAUCGCCUGUGGAUGGGCCCGCGUUGGAUUAGCUUGUUGGUAGGGUAAAAGUCUACCAAGGCGACGAUCCAUAGCUGGUCUGAGAGGAUGAUCAGCCACACUGGGACUGAGACACGGCCCAGACUCCUACGGGAGGCAGCAGUGGGGAAUAUUGGACAGUGGGCGAAAGCCUGAUCCAGCAAUGCCGCGUGAGUGAUGAAGGCCUUAGGGUUGUAAAGCUCUUUUACCCGGGAUGAUAAUGACAGUACCGGGAGAAUAAGCUCCGGCUAACUCCGUG